GUCCAUGCCGUAAACGUUGGGCGCUAGGUGUGGGGCUCAUUCCACGAGCUCCGUGCCGCAGCAAACGCAUUAAGCGCCCCGCCUGGGGAGUACGGCCGCAAGGCUAAAACUCAAAGGAAUUGACGGGGCCCCCGCACAAGCGGCGGAGCAUGCGGAUUAAUUCGAUGCAACGCGAAGAACCUUACCAAGGCUUGACAUGCAGGGAAAACUCACAGAGAUGUGAGGUCCGCAAGGGUCCUGCGCAGGUGGUGCAUGGUUGUCGU
This 263-nucleotide ribosomal RNA is filed under the name uncultured bacterium. RNAcentral's name for it is "partial 16S ribosomal RNA". It matches the Rfam family "Bacterial small subunit ribosomal RNA", at positions 793 to 1055 of the family's 1533-position model. The record is from RNAcentral.